RNAcentral lists this transfer RNA (31 nucleotides) under Dicranomyia hawaiiensis. RNAcentral describes it as "partial tRNA-Met". Lineage: Eukaryota; Metazoa; Arthropoda; Insecta; Diptera; Limoniidae. The record is from RNAcentral.
AUUCAUCAAGGUUUUACUCCUUUUCUUUUUA